Molecule: unclassified non-coding RNA, 571 nt
Filed under: Hevea brasiliensis (rubber tree)
Lineage: Eukaryota; Viridiplantae; Streptophyta; Magnoliopsida; Malpighiales; Euphorbiaceae
Source: RNAcentral
CGGUGCUUGCUUGAUAAAGAAGGAUCCUUAAAACUGGCUGACUUGAUCUUUGGUGGCUUAAUUUCUGAAUAAUUAUCACCCGCGCUGGGAGUAUGGACCUGCUGGGUUUCAGAUAAAGAAACAGGAGUACUCUGCCUCUGGACGGAUGGGGGUUCAACCUCAUCUACAGGCAUCCUCAGGGAAUCUUUCAAAGGUGUGAGGCCUUUCUUGGAUCCCCUUGAUCUAAACCAUGAAGGGAUUAAGUAGAGGAACAUGCUAGCCAAUGCCUCGAGUGCUAACUUAGAAAGAUCAAUCAUGAGCUGUCCAAAAGAUGGCCACUUAGGUUCCUCUUUCAUGCUCUCUGUGAUAGGAGUUGGUUUCUCCAUACUUGGAUACUCUUUAAAUUCACUUUCCGAGUAUUGUUGCGUUCUUGAGAAGAAAGAAGGCGCAAAUCCUUGCUGAAGCAUACAUGUAACAUAUCCAGCGAGGACAGCACCAAUAACCAUAAGGAGAUCUGUUGCAGUAAUUGAACUGGACUCAUAAUCACAAUCUUCUUGGUUAAGAGAGAUUUGUCGAAGAGCAGCAUUUCCCC